RNAcentral lists this transfer RNA (73 nucleotides) under Bacteriophage sp. RNAcentral describes it as "tRNA-OTHER". It matches the Rfam family "tRNA". Rfam says of the family: Transfer RNA (tRNA) molecules are approximately 80 nucleotides in length. The record is from RNAcentral.
UGCCCUCUAAUUUGUAAUGGUAGCAAGGCUGGCUCUAACCCAGCAGGUGUGGGUUCGAAUCCUACGGGGGCGA